AUGGCAAAGUCAUUCGUGAUCAAAUUUAAUAUGGCAGCUGGAAAAGACAAAGGAUCGUUUUAGUCUAACCAAGCAAUACAACUUAAUAAAAGUUUGUGCAUCGACUGCUCACUAAUCAUAAACAGAGUUGAAUGUUGAUGCAAUAAUUACUGAUUUGUUAAAGCUGGCAACUUCUUCUUGUGUUAUAGUACCUUAAAUCUAACAGAUAUCAUCGUUACGAUAUUAAUUUGUUUGUAAAUUGUUUUAGAAAAUAAAUUUAAUAAUAACUUUUAAAAAA
Molecule: non-coding RNA, 277 nt
Organism: Hydra vulgaris (swiftwater hydra)
Lineage: Eukaryota; Metazoa; Cnidaria; Hydrozoa; Anthoathecata; Hydridae
Source: RefSeq, a predicted model, not a curated record